Long non-coding RNA from Homo sapiens (human), 1442 nucleotides. Lineage: Eukaryota; Metazoa; Chordata; Mammalia; Primates; Hominidae. The record is from Ensembl.
GCCUAGGAGGAAAAAAGCCCAGUGGGUUAGGAAACACCCGCUCACCCUUGCAAAGCCGCAGCAGCAUCCAGGGUCUUGGCCGCUCGUUCUAGUUUAUGGCGAAAGCCAGGUGGAGCCAGGAACAGACUCUGUGCUUCUGAGGCAGCCGGACACAGCUCUUGACGCAGAAGGUUGAUUUUGUUUGGAUCUCUCUUGACCAGACAAGGUAGGGUUAAGUGUGUGAAGGGGGAGAAGGGAAUGCAGACCUCCUGGAACUUGAAACUUCCCAGCCCAGAGCCAGCCAGUGCGUGGAGACGCAGCCCCAACGUGCUGCUGCUGCUGCGGACACCUGGGGCGUGGAGCCAGGGCACGGGGCAGCUGUCCCUCUGCAGCCACACACCACAGGGGAUGGGCACCAGCAGACACGCCUGCUCGCUCCAGGGGAUCUGAAGGGAGCCGAGCUCCUUCUGCAGAAGGGCGCUGAGAAGGGAGCUGGAAGGAAAAGAAGGAAACAUUCCUUCCUCAACUGGAGGAAGACACGCGGCCACACACAGAACCAGCGGCCCCAGGACCGUCACCCUGCGUGCCCGGGCCUGUCCCUCCUGACCCCAGGAUUAUAGUGGCGAGGCAGGGUGUUAGCCAAGCGGAUUGAGCCAGGACACAACACCGCGGAGCCCUGCAGGCGAGUCCUCCGGAGGCUGAGAGCAAACGGCUGCACUAGGAACCCAGCAGUCAGACCGGCCCCCACCCUGGAGUGAACACAUCGCCACUGCCAGGCAUCGCAGGGAGGAUUACCCCAAUGGCACCUGGCUGGGCGACGAGAACAACCCCGAGAUGCGGGUGCACUGCGCCAUCAUCCCCUCCGACAUGCUGCACAUCAGCACCAACUGCCGCACGGCCGAGGAGAUGGUGCUCACGCUGCUGGACUACCUCUUCCACCGCGAGGUGCAGGCUGUGUCCAGCCUCUCGGGGCAGGGCAAGCACGGGAAGAAGCAGCUGGACCCGCUCACCAUCUAUGGCAUCCGGUGUCACCUUUUCUAUAAAUUUGGCAUCACAGAAUCUGACUGGUACCGAAUCAAGCAGAGCAUCGACUCCAAGUGCCGCACGGCGUGGCGGCGCAAGCAGUGGGGCCAGAGCCUGGUGGUCAAGAGCUUCUCGUGGAGAAUGCCCAACUCAUCCUCCUACUGCCCCUCAGAGCCGAUGAUGAGCACCCCACCUCCUGCCAGAGAGCUCCUGCAGCCACAGCUGCAGCCGCAGGCCCUGCACUACGCGCUGGCCAACGUGCAGCAGGUGCAGAUCCACCAGAUCGGAGAAGACGGACAGGUGCAAGUAGGACACCUCCACAUCGCCAAGGUGCCACAGGGGGAGCAAGUCCAGAUCACGCAGGACAGCGAGGGCAACCUCCAGAUCCAUCACGUGGGGCAGGAUGGUCAGCUGAGUGUCCCAGUCCCCAUGCACAUGCG